This 450-nucleotide ribosomal RNA is filed under the name Stenotrophomonas maltophilia. RNAcentral describes it as "bacterial SSU rRNA". It matches the Rfam family "Bacterial small subunit ribosomal RNA", at positions 29 to 472 of the family's 1533-position model. The record is from RNAcentral. Lineage: Bacteria; Pseudomonadati; Pseudomonadota; Gammaproteobacteria; Lysobacterales; Lysobacteraceae.
AGUGAACGCUGGCGGUAGGCCUAACACAUGCAAGUCGAACGGCAGCACAGUGGAGCUUGCUCCUUGGGUGGCGAGUGGCGGACGGGUGAGGAAUACAUCGGAAUCUACUCUGUCGUGGGGGAUAACGUAGGGAAACUUACGCUAAUACCGCAUACGACCUACGGGUGAGAGCAGGGUAUCUUCGGACCUUGCGCGAUUGAAUGAGCCGAUGUCGGAUUAGCUAGUUGGCGGGGUAAAGGCCCACCAAGGCGACGAUCCGUAGCUGGUCUGAGAGGAUGAUCAGCCACACUGGAACUGAGACACGGUCCAGACUCCUACGGGAGGCAGCAGUGGGGAAUAUUGGACAAUGGGCGCAAGCCUGAUCCAGCCAUACCGCGUGGGUGAAGAAGGCCUUCGGGUUGUAAAGCCCUUUUGUUGGGAAAGAAAUCCAGCUGGCUAAUACCCGGUUGG